This 635-nucleotide ribosomal RNA is filed under the name Anophryoides haemophila. RNAcentral describes it as "partial Bacterial large subunit ribosomal RNA". It matches the Rfam family "Bacterial large subunit ribosomal RNA", at positions 567 to 1204 of the family's 2925-position model. Lineage: Eukaryota; Ciliophora; Oligohymenophorea; Philasterida; Glauconematidae. The record is from RNAcentral.
CAAGCAGUGGGAGCCGACUUGUUCGGUGACUGCGUACCUUUUGUAUAAUGGGUCAGCGACUUACAUUCAGUAGCAAGGUUAACCGCAUAGGGGAGCCGUAGAGAAAUCGAGUCUUAAUAGGGCGUUUAGUUGCUGGGUGUAGACCCGAAACCGGGUGAUCUAUCCAUGAGCAGGUUGAAGGUUGGGUAACACUAACUGGAGGACCGAACCCACUGUCUUUGAAAAGCCAGGGGAUGACUUGUGGAUAGGGGUGAAAGGCUAAUCAAACUCGGUGAUAGCUGGUUCUCCCCGAAAGCUAUUUAGGUAGCGCCUCGGACGAAUACCAUUGGGGGUAGAGCACUGUUUCGGCUAGGGGGUCAUCCCGACUUACCAAACCGAUGCAAACUCCGAAUACCAAUGAGUACUAUCCGGGAGACAGACUGCGGGUGCUAACGUCCGUAGUCAAGAGGAAAACAAUCCAGACCGCCAGCUAAGGCCCCAAAAUUAUAGUUAAGUGGGAAACGAUGUGGGAAGGCAUAGACAGCUAGGAGGUUGGCUUAGAAGCAGCCACCCUUUAAAGAAAGCGUAAUAGCUCACUAGUCGAGUCGGCCUGCGCGGAAGAUGUAACGGGGCUAAAACUAUAUGCCGAAGCUGCA